Long non-coding RNA from Hyla sarda, 596 nucleotides. RefSeq lists it as uncharacterized. The record is from RefSeq and is a predicted model, not a curated record. The transcript has 5 exons. Lineage: Eukaryota; Metazoa; Chordata; Amphibia; Anura; Hylidae.
AAACAAAUCCUGGCGCCAAUCAGAGAGCAGCACUACUGAAAUAGAACUCCCAGGAGUGAGGGGCCGGUGCUGGACACUGUGUAGGGACGCGGGAAUGCAAAGUCAUACACAUGACUGUGACUGAUGCACUAUUUCCAGGACAUGGAGUAGCAUUUCCGGACCUACAGCAAGACGUUGGAUGAAGGCAUAGCCCCAGAAAUAACACUGGUCCUGUUCAUCAGUGAGGGGCCGGUGCUGGACACUGUGUAGGGACACGGGAAUGCAAAGUCAUGCACAUGACUGUGACUGAUGCAGUAUUUCCAGGACAUGGAGUAGCAUUUCGGGACCUACAGCAAGACGUUGGAUGAAGGCACAGGCCUAGGAAUCAUGCACAUACACAGAAACAUUUGCCCAAAUUAUAGAGGUAACCUCCUUUAGUAUGCCCAGAGGAAGGGCCAUACAGUAGCCAUGGAUUCCCUACAGGUUUCCUCCCCUCUGGAGGUUUUUCCUGUCCUGAGUAUUAGUUACUGUACGCUCUUUGUGAGUGAUGGGAGGUUAAAAAAAAUCCCCUACACAAACAUUUUAAUAAAUAAUAAAUAAAGUUCCCCUUUUUUUAA